This 1036-nucleotide long non-coding RNA is filed under the name Pan troglodytes (chimpanzee). Its description in RNAcentral is "lncRNA (ENSPTRG00000054469.1)". Lineage: Eukaryota; Metazoa; Chordata; Mammalia; Primates; Hominidae. The record is from RNAcentral.
CAUUAUCAGUAACAUCAGCAGCAACAACAACUUCUCUGGUGGUUAAAUCAACACCAAAUUCAAUCUUUGUGUCAACUUGUACACAGUUCUGUGGCAACCAGGAUUUCUCCAGUAUUUUAAAAAUAACCUGUGCAGCAUGACUCACGCUAGCUACUUCACUUUGGCCUUUACCAAGUCCAGCACAGCAAAAUUUCACAGCAAUUCACUGUUUCUCAUUACUGGCAGCACCCUUGAAAACAUCUCCACAUUAGAGGCACCUGAUGAUUUUCCAGCAGAAGCCGAGGGGCUGAGAGGUGGAGAGAACCAAAUGGCCAUGUCUAAGACAGCCUUCUGCUGUAAAGGGUUCUACAGGACAUGCUGUACAGGGGAAAGCUCCGGCCACCAUAAGACUUUGAGCACUUGAACUGGGGCUGGUGCAAUUGAGGGAUUAAAAUUUUGAUUUGAUUUAAUUGUAAUUACUCUAUAGUUAGUCUCAAUAGCCUCAUGAGGCUACUGCUUAGCACAGGUCUGGAGCCUCCCUUAGGUCCUGAGAAGGGCAGUGCAGCCACCUGGGAAGUGUGUGGGCUUUGUAGAUGACCAAUGCUCGGUUUGAAUCUUGCCUUGCCCCAUAGUAACCAUGCAAACUUGGUGAAUAAUUCCCCCCUCUGUGUUCAGUUUCUUCAUCUAUAAAAGGAGAAUAAAUAGGGCCAGGUGUGGUGGCUCACACCUGUAAUCCUAGCACUUUGGGAGGCCAAGGCAGGCAGAUCAUGAGGUCAGGAGUUCGAGACCAGACUGACCAACAUGGUGAAACCCCGUCUCUACUAAAAACACAAAAAUUAGCAAGGUGUAGUGGCACGCGCCUGUAAUCCCAGCUACUCAGGAGGUUGAGGCAGGAGAAUCGCUUGAAUCUGGGAGGCAGAGGUUGCAGUGAGCCAAGAUGGCGCCACUGCACUCCAGCCUGAGUGACAGAGUGAGACUCUGUCUCAAAAAAAUAAAUAAAUAAAAGAAUAAAUAAAGUAAAGCCUACCCCAUAAAAAGGUUUCACGUACUGGUGCCU